This 71-nucleotide small RNA is filed under the name Xanthomonas phaseoli pv. phaseoli. Its description in RNAcentral is "Xanthomonas axonopodis pv. phaseoli sX9". The record is from RNAcentral. Lineage: Bacteria; Pseudomonadati; Pseudomonadota; Gammaproteobacteria; Lysobacterales; Lysobacteraceae.
ACCAGAUGCAGGCUCCGGUUCCUGCGCACAGUUCGCGUCCACCUGACGACUGCUCAUGACAUUUGUCGGCC